UAUAUUUGUACUGUUAUUUGGACGGUAUUCGCUGCAGUUGGAUAAUAAAGAUAGUUAUUUUGCUUUACGUCUCUAGGGUGAAACCACCGAACGUCACUGCUCAUAAAUAUGAAAGUGCUUCAGAUAACAUCCCUUCCAAGGUCAAAUCUAUAAACAACCCAAACUACGAGAAAACUUUAGAACUCAAGACUCAUGAAUACGCUGUUCCAGAUUGUCAAGUGAAGCCCAGCUGUUAGGCGUGGCGUACAUAGCCCGGAGCAAACGGAGACGCAUAAAUAUUAAGUUGAAAUUGUAAUCAGGUUUCAGAAACGUCUAUUUUGUAAAAUGUGCCGGGAUAUCACUUGGAAAACACCGCCAAACAUUUCAUUUCCACGGGUUUCCGGGGCCCCGAAACCCCUGAAAAAACAGUAGUAAAUCAUGAAUUUUUCAAUAUAUUUCUGAGUAGAACAAUUCUCAACAAACGAGAGAAAGUGUUCAAGAAAACGAUAAUUCAAAACAAGCGAAAACUGACGGUAAAUAGAGAGUUGAAAACUGCAAUCAGUUAGCAGUGACGCACGCAAAGAUGAGGGAACUGUACAUUUAUUGAAAUGUGUGUAAUUGAGUGAUGAAAUUGUGGAUGUAAAGCCCCGGUAAAACGAUCGCAACAUUUCAACGCAACAUAUCCCAUCAUUGUUGGUCCAGCAUUUGCAACCUCUGGCGAAACGAUCGCAACAUUAUUUGCGUGCGUUUGGCCACCCUGUUGGGACGUGUUGCUACGUGCUGGGUAUUGAAAAUCAAACUAGCGCGCAUGCCCUGGCACAACACUGUUGCUCGAACCUGGCCAAACGACUACAACAUCAUGCAACAUCCUAAUGUUGCAUGAAAAUUUGACCAUUUUCGAAUUUGA
Molecule: long non-coding RNA, 886 nt
Organism: Orbicella faveolata
Lineage: Eukaryota; Metazoa; Cnidaria; Anthozoa; Scleractinia; Merulinidae
Source: RefSeq, a predicted model, not a curated record